AUUGAACGCUGGCGGCAGGCCUAACACAUGCAAGUCGAACGAGUGGCGGACGGGUGAGUAAUGUCUGGGAAACUGCCUGAUGGAGGGGGAUAACUACUGGAAACGGUAGCUAAUACCGCAUACCAUCAGAUGUGCCCAGAUGGGAUUAGCUAGUUGGUGGGGUAACGGCGCACCUAGGCGACGAUCCCUAGCUGGUCUGAGCGGAUGACCAGCCAAACUGGAACUGAGACACGGUCCAGACUCCUACGGGAGGCAGCAGUGGGGAAUAUUGCACAAUGGGCGAAAGCCUGAUUCAGCCAUGCCGCGUGUAUGAAGAAGGCCUUCGGGUUGUAAAGCACUUUAAGCGGGGAGGCGUUACCCGCAGAAGAAGCACCGGCUAACUCCGUGCCAGCCGCCGCGGUAAUAC
RNAcentral lists this ribosomal RNA (406 nucleotides) under uncultured bacterium. Its description in RNAcentral is "partial 16S ribosomal RNA". It matches the Rfam family "Bacterial small subunit ribosomal RNA", at positions 30 to 526 of the family's 1533-position model. The record is from RNAcentral.